Molecule: long non-coding RNA, 349 nt
Filed under: Salmo salar (Atlantic salmon)
Lineage: Eukaryota; Metazoa; Chordata; Actinopteri; Salmoniformes; Salmonidae
Description: lncRNA (ENSSSAG00000086074.1)
Source: RNAcentral
UUCACAUAGACGUUGAGCUCCAGAGGCUCAACUCUGCCUCGUCUGCGUUCUUCACACCUGAGAAACAGGCAGGGACAGGCCUCUCUACAUACGUUGUUAUAGAACUGAAAGAUGACCACGACGUACAUGGUGGUAGAACACGUGUAUUUACAGACAAACAGGAGGCUGUAAUCCUGUCAUCUUCCAUAACAUCAGAGUGAGCUUAUCAACCAUAGCCCCCAUCCUUCAGAAACACCAUCUCUGGAUGAAGCAAAUCUACAGAGUCAUAUCUGAAAGGAAAUCCCAAAGAGUGAAGGAUAAACAGUAGGAAUAUAUGCAAAGAAUCAUGGAGUUGGAUGCAAAUCCCGUC